AUGUUGUCAUAAACGUCCGUGGUAGGCUUGAGUAUACGAAAUCACUACAAGCACUAGUAGAAAAAGAUAAAAACGCACCGACGAAUGCGCAUCGGUUAUUGAAAACCGGUGCCAAAAAUAAAGCCUAGACCACAAAAAUAAAAACAGGUUUAAUAGGGCACCGGUUUUUUUCCAAAAUUCCCUAAAAUUAGAACACGCACUCUCUCCUCACUCUUUCCUCUCUAUCUCUAACUCUCUUGUUCUGUUUCCUCUCUCCUCUCAAACUCUCCAUCUCCUCUCUUUUCUCGCUCCACCGCAGCCACCCCCAGCGCAACCCUCAACUCUCUCCAUCCUAGCUUCCCACCGUAGUCACCACCAGCGCAACCCUCCUCUCUCUCCAUCCUAGUUUCUUGCCACCACCACCGCAGUCGUCUCUAAUGGAAUAAGCCCUUAAAAAACUAGGAGAACGAUGCCUAGAUGUCUAAUGGCGACACUGCUCCUCACAAGCUAUGAAUUUGAUGAAUCAUCAAUCGGAAUGUACAAACCCUAAUAUUAGAAAUGAUGAUGAUGACGAUUCAGGUUGGUAAAAAGGGUACUCGGUUACGUGUGAGGAGACGUUAGAAUAAUCACGUAGCUAAGACAAUUUAGUUUAUUGCCGAAUUUAAUUAUUUCCUCUCAAUUAUUGGUUUCAAUACUUGCAGUUUUGAUGUAAUGACUAUUUUAUUUUGCCACAACUUAGACCACUUAGUUUAUUUAAAUAUUAUGUUAUUUUUGCUUUGCAUUUAUUUUCUACGGAAAAUAAGUGUAGCAGUAACACUUCCAAAGUUCGAUGGUUGGGUUGUUAAAAGUUAAAGGUUACUCUUAUUGUUUUAAAGACUCGAAUUUUGGGGGUGUUACAGUUAUAGUGUAGAAUUUCUCAAUAAAAUAAAACAAAAAUUUUAAUAGCAACCAAAAAUCAAAGGAAUGUAUUUUGGUUAUAUCAAAAGUGAAAAAUGUGA
This is a long non-coding RNA of Chenopodium quinoa (quinoa), 977 nucleotides long. RefSeq lists it as uncharacterized. The transcript is spliced from 3 exons. NCBI's taxonomy places the organism in Eukaryota, Viridiplantae, Streptophyta, Magnoliopsida, Caryophyllales, Amaranthaceae. The record is from RefSeq and is a predicted model, not a curated record.